UACGUAGGGGGCUAGCGUUAUCCGGAAUUACUGGGCGUAAAGGGUGCGUAGGUGGUUUCUUAAGUCAGAGGUGAAAGGCUACGGCUCAACCGUAGUAAGCCUUUGAAACUGGGAAACUUGAGUGCAGGAGAGGAGAGUAGAAUUCCUAGUGUAGCGGUGAAAUGCGUAGAUAUUAGGAGGAACACCAGUUGCGAAGGCGGCUCUCUGGACUGUAACUGACACUGAGGCACGAAAGCGUGGGGAGCAAACAGG
This 252-nucleotide ribosomal RNA is filed under the name uncultured bacterium. RNAcentral's name for it is "partial 16S ribosomal RNA". It matches the Rfam family "Bacterial small subunit ribosomal RNA", at positions 524 to 776 of the family's 1533-position model. The record is from RNAcentral.